AUUGAACGCUGGCGGCAUGCCUCACACAUGCAAGUCGAACGGCAGCACGGGAGCAAUCCUGGUGGCGAGUGGCGAACGGGUGAGUAAAGUAUCGGAACGUGCCCAGUCGUGGGGGAUAACGUAGCGAAAGUUACGCUAAUACCGCAUACGAUCUAUGGAUGAAAGCGGGGGAUCGUAAGACCUCGCGCGAUUGGAGCGGCCGAUAUCAGUCUAGGUAGUUGGUGGGGUAAAGGCUCACCAAGCCGACGAUCUGUAGCUGGUCUGAGAGGACGACCAGCCACGCUGGGACUAAGACACAGCGCAGACUCCUACGGGAGGCAGCAGUGGUGAAUUGUGGAUAAUGAGCGAAAGCCUGAUCCAGCCAUGCCGCGUGCAGGAUGAAGGCUUUCGGGUUGUAAACUGCUUUUGUACGGAACGAAAAGGUUUGGCAUAAUAAGCUGAGCUCAUGACGGUACCGUAAGAAUAAGCACCGGCUAACUACGUGCCAGCCGCCGCCGUAA
This 500-nucleotide ribosomal RNA is filed under the name uncultured bacterium. RNAcentral's name for it is "partial 16S ribosomal RNA". It matches the Rfam family "Bacterial small subunit ribosomal RNA", at positions 30 to 523 of the family's 1533-position model. The record is from RNAcentral.